RNAcentral lists this ribosomal RNA (253 nucleotides) under uncultured bacterium. RNAcentral describes it as "partial 16S ribosomal RNA". It matches the Rfam family "Bacterial small subunit ribosomal RNA", at positions 524 to 776 of the family's 1533-position model. The record is from RNAcentral.
UACGUAGGGGGCAAGCGUUGUCCGGAAUCAUUGGGCGUAAAGCGCGUGUAGGCGGUCCGGUAAGUCCGCUGUGAAAGUCGGGGGCUCAACCCUCGGAUGCCGGUGGAUACUGUCGGGCUUGAGUACGGAAGAGGCGAGUGGAAUUCCUGGUGUAGCGGUGAAAUGCGUAGAGAUCCGGAAGAACACCAGUGGCGAAGGCGGCCCGCUGGGCAGUGGCUGACGCUGAAGCGCGACAGCGUGGGGAGCAAACAGG